UCUUGGACAUGCCUUGCAUGGCAGGCUCCCCGCACGUACGUGCGGCCAACUGUCAUGGGGCUGUCUUCUCAGUGUCCCUUCGUUUAUCCAUUUUGGUAGCUUCGGGUGCCUCGGAUUUGGUUGCCUGUGCGGUCUUACCGUAGUUGGUAUCACAACUGUCCCGCUGUUGCGUAUUUCGCUUGCCCCGUGGAUGAUAUUCAUCGAUGGGCAGCCGAGGCGUUGGUAACUUCCYUGCGCUGUGAUGCACGGUGUGCGUCGGAACUGCURAUGGGAUGUUUGCCGGGUCUCACGGAUAUCAGUCCCUACGUUGAGCGGUCUGCGGGCUUGAAGCCUGCAGGCUCAAGGUGUUGCCCGCYCACAUAAAUUUGUUGCUGAUGCUCCAUCGGCACGUGAUCCUUCGGGAUUCAUGUUGAGGGAUCUCACUCGGCGCKUGUUUGUGUGUACGUGCKUAUCCUUACCGACCCGAAUGAUACACGACUUGCCCGUCGGCYUCGUCACGGGAAG
RNAcentral lists this unclassified non-coding RNA (504 nucleotides) under Cyperus rotundus. RNAcentral's name for it is "partial external transcribed spacer 1f". Lineage: Eukaryota; Viridiplantae; Streptophyta; Magnoliopsida; Poales; Cyperaceae. The record is from RNAcentral.